This 253-nucleotide ribosomal RNA is filed under the name uncultured bacterium. RNAcentral describes it as "partial 16S ribosomal RNA". It matches the Rfam family "Archaeal small subunit ribosomal RNA", at positions 474 to 727 of the family's 1478-position model. The record is from RNAcentral.
UACCAGCACCCCGAGUGGUCGGGACGAUUAUUGGGCCUAAAGCAUCCGUAGCCGGUUCUGCAAGUCCCCCGUUAAAUCUAGCUGCUCAACAGAUGGGCCGCGGAGGAUACUACAGAGCUAGGAGGCAGGAGAGGCAAGCGGUACUCAGUGGGUAGGGGUAAAAUCCGUUGAUCCAUUGAAGACCACCAGUGGCGAAGGCGGCUUGCCAGAAUGCGCUCGACGGUGAGGGAUGAAAGCUGGGGGAGCAAACCGG